UAACGCGUGGGAAUCUACCCUUUUCUACGGAAUAACGCAGGGAAACUUGUGCUAAUACCGUAUGAGCCCUUCGGGGGAAAGAUUUAUCGGGAAAGGAUGAGCCCGCGUUGGAUUAGCUAGUUGGUGGGGUAAAGGCCUACCAAGGCGACGAUCCAUAGCUGGUCUGAGAGGAUGAUCAGCCACAUUGGGACUGAGACACGGCCCAAACUCCUACGGGAGGCAGCAGUGGGGAAUAUUGGACAAUGGGCGCAAGCCUGAUCCAGCCAUGCCGCGUGAGUGAUGAAGGCCCUAGGGUUGUAAAGCUCUUUCACCGGUGAAGAUAAUGACGGUAACCGGAGAAGAAGCCCCGGCUAACUUCGUGCCAGCAGCCGCGGUAAUACGAAGGGGGCUAGCGUUGUUCGGAAUUACUGGGCGUAAAGCGCACGUAGGCGGACAUUUAAGUCAGGGGUGAAAUCCCGGGGCUCAACCCCGGAACUGCCUUUGAUACUGGGUGUCUAGAGUCCGGAAGAGGUGAGUGGAAUUCCGAGUGUAGAGGU
Molecule: ribosomal RNA, 536 nt
Filed under: Rhizobium sp.
Lineage: Bacteria; Pseudomonadati; Pseudomonadota; Alphaproteobacteria; Hyphomicrobiales; Rhizobiaceae
Description: bacterial SSU rRNA
Rfam family: Bacterial small subunit ribosomal RNA
Source: RNAcentral